GACGAACGCUGGCGGCGUGCUUAACACAUGCCAGUCGAACGGUGAACCUCUUCGGAGGGGGUCAGUGGCGAACGGGUGAGUAACACGUGGGCAACCUGCCCCCGGCUCUGGGAUAACUCCAAGAAAUUGGGGCUAAUACCGGAUGUUCACCGCUUCCCGCAUGGGUGGUGGUGGAAAGGGUUUCCGGCUGGGGAUGGGCCCGCGGCCUAUCAGCUUGUUGGUGGGGUAGUGGCCUACCAAGGCGACGACGGGUAGCCGGCCUGAGAGGGUGACCGGCCACACUGGGACUGAGACACGGCCCAGACUCCUACGGGAGGCAGCGGUGGGGAAUAUUGCGCAAUGGGCGGAAGCCUGACGCAGCGACGCCGCGUGGGGGAUGACGGCCUUCGGGUUGUAAACCUCUUUCAGCAGGGACGAAGCGCAAGUGACGGUACCUGCAGAAGAAGCACCGGCCAACUACGUG
Molecule: ribosomal RNA, 463 nt
Filed under: uncultured bacterium
Lineage: Bacteria
Description: partial 16S ribosomal RNA
Rfam family: Bacterial small subunit ribosomal RNA
Source: RNAcentral